AGCUGCUAUAUUGCCAAGUCUGGCCUUGUUACUGAGGAUUUGCAAUGAGAAAUGGACAGUAAUCUUUUUCCCUAGAAAGUACAUUAAUUUUACCUCAUUGUCACUGUUUACACUUUUUUUUCUCAGUUAACGAAUUGCAUGAAAACCAAAUAAUUUGGGAAAUAGCCUCUCUGAUACUCGCACUGGAAGUACAGAAUUGUUGAAAUUCAGAAGUAAAUCAAGUGCUGCUAAUUUCUCCCCAGAGCCUGUCUUAAUUUCACACCCUAGGUAUCAAUUUUGUUAAAAGGUGUUUUUCUUUCUCCCACAAUUCGUCUGGCAAUUACAAGUUUAAAUUAGACAAUUAUCACUAUCAGCCUCUUUACAUUUCUUUCUCUCCUUAUUGUUUAAUAAUUGCUCUUUCUACUAAUGUCAGCACCAGAAUAUAUUCUUUUUUUUCUCUGCUUCAAAUUUCAUAUUAUUACAACUUCAUAUGAAAGCAGAAAAGAUGCAGCCACACAUUAUAACUGCUUCUGCUGUAUUUUUACUAAAAAGAAAAAAAAAAGGCUUAAUAAAUGUUUUGUGCAAUUCAAUAAUGUAUUACACCAAGAAAAAAAGUUCUGAUAGUGUUUUUGUAUAGAAUUCAUGGAUCAUAGUGACCUUCUUAUCAGAACUACCUCAAGGAGAACAUUUACGCAAUGAAUAGAUCCGCAAAAUAGUUUUCCCAUCAUUGUCCACCAAAUCAUGAAAGCCAUCAGGAAACUGUAGGC
This is a non-coding RNA of Pelobates cultripes (western spadefoot toad), 746 nucleotides long. The record is from the annotation of a GenBank genome assembly. NCBI's taxonomy places the organism in Eukaryota, Metazoa, Chordata, Amphibia, Anura, Pelobatidae.